CGAGAUGAGUUCUCCCUGACUCUUUAAGGGUCCUGAAGGAACGUUGAAGACGACGACGUUGAUAGGCCGGGUGUGUAAGCGCAGCGAUGCGUUGAGCUAACCGGUACUAAUGAACCGUGAGGCUUAACCUUACAACGCCGAAGCUGUU
This 148-nucleotide ribosomal RNA is filed under the name Escherichia coli. RNAcentral describes it as "partial 23S ribosomal RNA". The stretch from base 1 to 131 matches the Rfam family "Bacterial large subunit ribosomal RNA", at positions 2800 to 2925 of the family's 2925-position model. Lineage: Bacteria; Pseudomonadati; Pseudomonadota; Gammaproteobacteria; Enterobacterales; Enterobacteriaceae. The record is from RNAcentral.